Molecule: ribosomal RNA, 809 nt
Filed under: uncultured Pseudomonas sp.
Lineage: Bacteria; Pseudomonadati; Pseudomonadota; Gammaproteobacteria; Pseudomonadales; Pseudomonadaceae
Description: bacterial SSU rRNA
Rfam family: Bacterial small subunit ribosomal RNA
Source: RNAcentral
UGCAGUCGAGCGGAUGAAGGGAGCUUGCUCCUGGAUUCAGCGGCGGCACGGGUGAGUAAUGCCUAGGAAUCUGCCUGGUAGUGGGGGAUAACGUCCGGAAACGGGCGCUAAUACCGCAUACGUCCUGAGGGAGAAAGUGGGGGAUCUUCGGACCUCACGCUAUCAGAUGAGCCUAGGUCGGAUUAGCUAGUUGGUGGGGUAAAGGCCUACCAAGGCGACGAUCCGUAACUGGUCUGAGAGGAUGAUCAGUCACACUGGAACUGAGACACGGUCCAGACUCCUACGGGAGGCAGCAGUGGGGAAUAUUGGACAAUGGGCGAAAGCCUGAUCCAGCCAUGCCGCGUGUGUGAAGAAGGUCUUCGGAUUGUAAAGCACUUUAAGUUGGGAGGAAGGGCAGUAAGUUAAUACCUUGCUGUUUUGACGUUACCAACAGAAUAAGCACCGGCUAACUUCGUGCCAGCAGCCGCGGUAAUACGAAGGGUGCAAGCGUUAAUCGGAAUUACUGGGCGUAAAGCGCGCGUAGGUGGUUCAGCAAGUUGGAUGUGAAAUCCCCGGGCUCAACCUGGGAACUGCAUCCAAAACUACUGAGCUAGAGUACGGUAGAGGGUGGUGGAAUUUCCUGUGUAGCGGUGAAAUGCGUAGAUAUAGGAAGGAACACGAGUGGCGAAGGCGACCACCUGUACUGGUACUGACAGUGAUGUGCGAAAGCGGGGGAGCAAACAGGAUUAGAUACCCUGGUAGUCGACGCCGUAUACGAUGUCGACUAGCCUCUGGGAUCCUUGAGAACUUAGUGGCGCACUAACGCGUAA